RNAcentral lists this signal recognition particle RNA (286 nucleotides) under Microcebus murinus (gray mouse lemur). Its description in RNAcentral is "Metazoan signal recognition particle RNA (ENSMICG00000031001.2)". It matches the Rfam family "Metazoan signal recognition particle RNA". From Rfam's summary of the family: The signal recognition particle (SRP) is a universally conserved ribonucleoprotein. It is involved in the co-translational targeting of proteins to membranes. The record is from RNAcentral. Lineage: Eukaryota; Metazoa; Chordata; Mammalia; Primates; Cheirogaleidae.
GCUAGGUGUGGUGGCAUGCACCUGUAGUCCCAGCUACUCAGGAAGCUAAGGCUGGAGGAUCGCUUGAAUUCUGGGCUAUAGUAUGCUAUGCUGAGCAGGUGUCUACACUAAAUUCAGCAUCAAUAUGGUGACCUCCAGGGUAUGGGGGGCGCCAAUUUGCCUAAGGAGAUGUGAACCAGCGCAGGUCAGAAAGAGAGCAGGUCAAAACUUCUAUGCUGAUCAGUAGUGAGACCAUGCCUGUGAACAGCCACUGUACUCUAGCCUGGGCAACAUAGAUCAUGUCUCU